AAAAACAUUCAACGAUAAUUGUUAAGAAAUCCCAAAUAAGAAAGUAUAAUUCUAAUUACUGGAUGCAACGGAUAUUUCAGAUAUUUUGCCAUCAAGAGCACGCAAAAGAACAACUAAACGGCGUUUAAAAAUAGGCGAGAAAAAUUCAGACUGCCUUAACAAAGCUUCGCGAGUUAAAGUAAGAACAGGGUGAACUACCGUUUCCACCUUUGGGUCAUUAACAUCAAUGUUCAAACAAAUUCUAGAAAUGUAUUCCAUACGCUUCGAUAAGCGAUCGUCAUCAACAGAAUCAAGGAGAGAAAUAUGAUAAAUAAAAGUAAGAAGCAAUAAAUUGCUACAAUUUUCUAACAUUCUAUCGUAAGAAAUUUCAGACAAAACGUCAAAGCCCGCAACAGAGGGCAUGUUACACCACUAGAAUAAAUUAGAAAAUAAAAAUCACAUUUUAUAACUUACCUCAGCAACACAUUCUUUCACAGAACCAGCUUUAACAUAUUCUUUUAGCCUUCUCAGACUUUCAGCAAUUCCCUGAGCAGGCUGUUCAGCAGAUGAAGGCUCCUGCUUUUCCACGUCCUUUGUAGACGUAUCGCUAGACACGGAAACGUUACUUUCCGCAGCAGGUGGAUAUGAUGAAGGUACUACAUCAGGUGCUGUCUCUGGUACUUUAUUCUCAAUCUUCAAAUCAUUGAACUUUUCAAGCACUGUUUCAACAUAGCCUUCAAGCGUUUUAACUUGUUCAUUCAAUUCGUUAUACUUUACCUCAGAUUCCUUCUGGGCAUGUGCAACAUUCUGAAUACUAUACCUCAGUUGAGCUAGAGAUGAAGUCUGCUUAUCAAAAUCCUCUCGAACAGAAUUUUGCAGCUCUGCAAUGCUAUUCUCAAGAAAAGAUUCAAUUUUUUCCAAGUUAUUUUUGAGAGCAUUUCUAACGGAAUUCGCAAUUUCUUCCUUUAAUGCCACUUGCAUCGAUUUUUCAACCACCGACUCUAGAAUUUUACCAGUGUUUUCAGUUAAGGUUGAGGAGACGACUGAUAAAAUAGCUUCCGUAUGUUUUUCGUUUGCAGCCUUAUAUUCCAAAAGUUGAGAUCUUAGGCUUUCAUCUGUUUAAAAAAUUAGUGAAGUUAACUUAAAAAAAACUUACAAUUUUUGUGGACACUUUUUUCUAAGGAAGCAAGGAUAUUAGAGACAAUACUAUCCAUAGGUAUCGCAUCAAAAGUUGAAGCACUAUAUGAAGAAGGUGAUAAAACAGAUGAUGAUUUGUCCUUAGUUUCAAAUCUCUCGCCUUUGUCCUUCUUUUUCUUAGAAAAUCCUGUAGCUUGUGAACGGGGAGUACUGAAUCCAGAAUUAACAGUUGAAGGAGAAGCAGUGCUAUGUCUCUCAGUUAAAUCGAUUGUGCCACCAAUGUCUGCAUCAUAAUUCUGGACGCUCUCGAGCGAUCUAACUGUUUUGCCAGUCUUAUCUAAUAUUGAAGUCGGGAUAGAAUAAUAUUCAUAACCAUCUGUAUUGCUUACAACAAUGCAAUACUUAUCUUCAGAUUCCAAAAUUUUGCAUGCUGUAAAGCUAAUACAUGCUGCUUUCUCAAAUUUUUUAGCUACAAUUACUGAAAACUUUGCAUCCGCAGGAACGGGUUCAGAUGUGUUUAAUGAUGCCAAUAUUAAUUCAUAGGUUGAAUUAUAGAUUGGUGCUUGUUCGGAGACCGUCUCGUCUUUUGCGAAGAGAAAAAAAUAAAUACUAUUUGAUGGAGGAUUUCCUACCAGUAAGGUACUGCGCUCAUUGUCCACCGAAAAUUGAGAAAAUGAGGUAGUCGUUGCAGCCGUCGGACGAUUAUUAAAUCGGAAAGUCUGUAUAUUCCUUUUUGAA
This 1854-nucleotide long non-coding RNA is filed under the name Schizosaccharomyces pombe (fission yeast). Lineage: Eukaryota; Fungi; Ascomycota; Schizosaccharomycetes; Schizosaccharomycetales; Schizosaccharomycetaceae. The record is from RNAcentral.